Molecule: ribosomal RNA, 465 nt
Filed under: Vreelandella stevensii
Lineage: Bacteria; Pseudomonadati; Pseudomonadota; Gammaproteobacteria; Oceanospirillales; Halomonadaceae
Description: partial 16S ribosomal RNA
Rfam family: Bacterial small subunit ribosomal RNA
Source: RNAcentral
CCUACGGGGGGCAGCAGUGGGGAAUAUUGGACAAUGGGGGGAACCCUGAUCCAGCCAUGCCGCGUGUGUGAAGAAGGCCCUCGGGUUGUAAAGCACUUUCAGUGAGGAAGAACGCCUGGUGGUUAAUACCCAUCAGGAAAGACAUCACUCACAGAAGAAGCACCGGCUAACUCCGUGCCAGCAGCCGCGGUAAUACGGAGGGUGCGAGCGUUAAUCGGAAUUACUGGGCGUAAAGCGCGCGUAGGUGGCUUGAUAAGCCGGUUGUGAAAGCCCCGGGCUCAACCUGGGAACGGCAGCCGGAACUGUCAAGCUAGAGUGCAGGAGAGGAAGGUAGAAUUCCCGGUGUAGCGGUGAAAUGCGUAGAGAUCGGGAGGAAUACCAGUGGCGAAGGCGGCCUUCUGGACUGACACUGACACUGAGGUGCGAAAGCGUGGGUAGCAAACAGGAUUAGAUACCCGGGUAGUC